ACGCUUUGAAAGCAGGAUCAUCAACUUAGUGUGAACCCCCAAGAGAAGGGAGACUGGCUUUCACUGAACACUUAGACAGUGUGGCUGUGUGUGUCACACACCUGCACAGGCAACGAAAGUGUACCAGUGUCUGCACACAUAUGGAUGUGAUGUUUCUAUACAUGCCUACGUUGUACAAUGUUCACGUCAGAGGAAGCCAUCUGUCCCCUCAAGCCUGUCUCAAGUCUCUAGUGAAAGCCUUUGAAACCUUUUCUUGCAGCCGGUGGAGGAGGAAGUACCUACUGUGUGACAGGAACCCUCCUGUGUGACAGCACACCGGAGCUGCCUUCUCCUCUGGAGCUGUACCUGUGAAAGCCUCGCUGUACUUUUUGGUGUCUGGUUUCUCAGCCCAUGGCUAACACGUAGAACACCAUAGAACACCGUGGUGUUACUGGGAGUUCUCAUACAACUUUAGAAUCAGGAUCUACACAUCUUCAGAGCUUAUAGGUCUUUGUAUAAUUCAAGCUUACAACAUAUUAAAGACCACAGAUUGUA
Peromyscus eremicus (cactus mouse) is the source of this 534-nucleotide long non-coding RNA. RefSeq lists it as uncharacterized. NCBI's taxonomy places the organism in Eukaryota, Metazoa, Chordata, Mammalia, Rodentia, Cricetidae. The record is from RefSeq and is a predicted model, not a curated record. The transcript has 2 exons.